UACGGAAGAUGCGAGCGUUAUCCGGAUUUAUUGGGUUUAAAGGGAGCGUAGGCGGGCUUUUAAGUCAGCGGUCAAAUGUCACGGCUCAACCGUGGCCAGCCGUUGAAACUGUAAGCCUUGAGUCUGCACAGGGCACAUGGAAUUCGUGGUGUAGCGGUGAAAUGCUUAGAUAUCACGAAGAACUCCGAUCGCGAAGGCAUUGUGCCGGGGCAUAACUGACGCUGAGGCUCGAAAGUGCGGGUAUCAAACAGG
This 252-nucleotide ribosomal RNA is filed under the name Paraprevotella clara YIT 11840. Its description in RNAcentral is "partial 16S ribosomal RNA". It matches the Rfam family "Bacterial small subunit ribosomal RNA", at positions 524 to 776 of the family's 1533-position model. Lineage: Bacteria; Pseudomonadati; Bacteroidota; Bacteroidia; Bacteroidales; Prevotellaceae. The record is from RNAcentral.